GGGGAUGAAAGAUUUCGAUGAAAGGUUCUUUAAAAUGAGGCAAGUUGAGCAUUCUCAAAUCUCAUAAAACUUUGAGAAAACAAAUAAUUGCUAAUUUUUCAAAUAAGCAACCAGCGUUAGCUUUUGCUUAAUGCUGCAUCUUCACCAUUGACUCCUAAUAAAUGAAUGAAGGUGUUAUAUUAUUAGGAUAGGCAGUUUUAUUCCUCGGAUAACUGCCGAGAUUUACGAGGAUUAAGAUAUUAAAAAUUUUGUCUAUUUCUUAUUUAAUAUCUAAAAUACCAAAAUAGACUAAACUUGUAGAAUUAUUUUAACAAGCUUUUCAGACGAGGACUCACCUCCUCCAUCUCCACUA
This 352-nucleotide transfer-messenger RNA is filed under the name Candidatus Staskawiczbacteria bacterium. It matches the Rfam family "transfer-messenger RNA". From Rfam's summary of the family: Bacterial tmRNA, also known as 10Sa RNA or SsrA, is named for its dual tRNA and mRNA-like properties. Lineage: Bacteria; Candidatus Staskawicziibacteriota. The record is from RNAcentral.